This is a non-coding RNA of Arachis ipaensis, 815 nucleotides long. NCBI's taxonomy places the organism in Eukaryota, Viridiplantae, Streptophyta, Magnoliopsida, Fabales, Fabaceae. The record is from RefSeq and is a predicted model, not a curated record.
UUUUCAAAUAUAAUUUUAACAAGAUCAGCACAAUAAUUAACAAAAAAAAGACACUGAAUGAGCACUGUCAACUCUCCAAUUGCUUAAUAACCUCCUUUCCUUCCCAACACCUUCAAAGUAAUCUCUAGCUCAUCCCACAAUACGUUAUAUCAAUUAGAAAUUAUCAACCCACAUUAAUUUUGUAUGCAAAAACAGUUUUAACAUGGAAAGCUUCAUUGCAAGAAUGCAAGAAUUCAAGUCGGUGUGCAGGUCCUCGGACAGCAAAUCAAUACAAACAUUCAAGAAAAAGAAAGACAACACAGCAACAACACAACAAAGAAUCAAAGGAACAUUUAAAAACAUAGCAACAACACAACACCUAUAAGAACAUUUAAAACAAAGCAACAAAGAAAGAAAUAUCUAAGAAUCAACAUAACUUGAACGUGUAUGCUCAAAGAAUCAAAGGCUAAGCUUCACUGGGAAAGUGAAGAACACCCAACUAAAGGAAACUUCAAUCACAGCUUAAACAAAAAUUCACAAUCCCUUUAAAUUGAAGUAGCAAGAAACUUGAGAACUAAAACAAGGUUAACAAGGUUAAGCAGUGAACUAAAUCAGCGUAAUUUUAACAAGAUUAACGGAACUAAAUCAACUAAUUAUUGAAUGAUUCAAUCCAAAACAAGAAAACAGUAUAAUACAGCACAUGAGUAAAGCUAAUCAAUGAUUCAAAUUUCAAUAUGAGUAGCACUAAUAGAAUCCAAAAAAAUCAAUGUUCUAGGAGAAUCUCAAAAAAAAAUCAUUGAAUCAAAGUUCUGGGCAAAGAUCGAACAAAAAUUUUU